UAUGUUUUAGUAUAAUAUGUACAAAAGUUUUUGAUACUUUAAGAAAUGGAUUAAUUCAUUAAACAUAU
This 68-nucleotide transfer RNA is filed under the name Scolytinae sp. BMNH 1040351. RNAcentral describes it as "tRNA-Gln". Lineage: Eukaryota; Metazoa; Arthropoda; Insecta; Coleoptera; Curculionidae. The record is from RNAcentral.